CAAUUCAACACUGGAUUUAAUCAAGUUGUUGUUACUUUUUGUAAUGCAUUCAGAGUUGGUGAUGAUUUGAGGGCAGCAGGUGGUAUCUUUGUGUCCUAUCCUCACCAUUCAGUAGCUGUGGUGCAUAGGCUGUAAUUCAUGGAUGGACUUGUCAAAAGGCCAUCAAAAGUUGUCCUGGGAAGCUGGGCCUGACAGUGAACCACUGGCCUGUUUUUCUCUUGAUGGGAAUCUUCUAAUGUCCCUUCAGUACAUUCUGACUUUGCUGGGUUGUGUCUUUAUGCAAAACAUGAAUUACUAGAGAGUUCUUGCUUCUUGCCAUGUAUGUUAUAAAGAUAAGAUAUUAUUAACCAUGACUCAUAAUCUAGGAAAGACACCGAGUUCUAGAGACAAGGGCUCAGCCUAGAGAUUUGACCCUGACCACGUGGCACCCAGCCUUCACCUCUUGCCCUUCUACAAGGAUGAAAUAAGUAUAAAGUAUUUUGAAGACCAGGUUCUUUGGCCCUGUGGUCUUGAGAUUUCAGUGUCUGUUGAUUUUCUUGGGGGAAGGAUUCUUGCAAGGAUGAAUGUCAUUUGCUGCGUCAGUGGUUUGAAGUCAAUAACCAUUGAUACUGUCCUUUGGGAACUCUUGUGCUUACAGAGGCAAUAUUUUAGAAUGAGGACACAGUCUGCUGAUGAGUAAUACUUAAAACAAAUCAUGGAAGAUUUGGAUAGCUCCUCAGUCUUUGGCAUUGAAGUCUCAGAGUGUCACCAACCUUUGGUGUCAAAUACAGCUGGACUGGACAAUUCAUUUUAUCUAAUUCCACAAGACUGUGACCUUCUUAAAACAGAGGUUUUAUUUGACUGCUAUUUCAUCAGUGCCUGGCACAAGUUCUGUCGUGUAGCAGACAUUUCAUGUUCAAUAAAUGAAUGAAUAAGAAAAUACAGAAAUGAAUGAGGGAGUAAAUUUAGAGUAUAUCAUUUUAUGAAAUAUUUUGUUAAUGAGUACUCCUGAGAUAUUUCCUAAAUCCAGUUAGAAAACAUGAUGCUUCUCAAUUUAAUCGACAAUAAAUGAGUAAUAAAGGUAAAACACGUACAGUAAAACCUUGGUUUGUGAGUAUAAUUCAUUCCAGAAACAUGCUUAUAAUCUCAAACCCUUGUAUAUAAAAACAAAUUUCCCCAUUACAAAUAAUGGAAACUCAGUGAUUCAUUCCACAACCCCAAUAUAUUCAUAUAAAAAUGAUUACAGGGGUGCCUGGGUGGCUCAGUCGGUUGGGUGUCCAACUUUGGCUCAGGUCAUGAUCUCACAGUCCGUGAGUUCGAGCCCCGCGUCAGGCUCUGUGCUGACAGCUCAGAGCCUGGAGCCUGUUUUGGAUUCUGUGUCUCCCUCUCUCUCUGACCCUCCCCUGUUCAUGUUCUGUCUCUCUCU
Long non-coding RNA from Acinonyx jubatus (cheetah), 1405 nucleotides. RefSeq lists it as uncharacterized. The transcript is spliced from 4 exons. Lineage: Eukaryota; Metazoa; Chordata; Mammalia; Carnivora; Felidae. The record is from RefSeq and is a predicted model, not a curated record.